UGGGGAAUAUUGGGCAAUGGGCGAAAGCCUGACCCAGCAACGCCGCGUGAGGGAAGAAGGGUUUCGGCUCGUAAACCUCUGUCCUAUGGGACGAAGGAAGUGACGGUACCAUAGGAGGAAGUCCCGGCUAACUACGUGCCAGCAGCCGCGGUAAUACGUAGGGGGCGAGCGUUGUCCGGAAUGAUUGGGCGUAAAGGGCGCGUAGGCGGCCUGUUAAGUCUGGAGUGAAAGUCCUGCUUUCAAGGUGGGAAUUGCUUUGGAUACUGAUGGGCUGGAGUGCAGGAGAGGAAAGCGGAAUUACCGGUGUAGCGGUGAAAUGCGUAGAGAUCGGUAGGAACACCAGUGGCGAAGGCGGCUUUCUGGACUGAAACUGACGCUGAGGCGCGAAAGCGUGGGGAGCAAACAGGAUUAGAUACC
Molecule: ribosomal RNA, 417 nt
Filed under: uncultured bacterium
Lineage: Bacteria
Description: bacterial SSU rRNA
Rfam family: Bacterial small subunit ribosomal RNA
Source: RNAcentral